UUCCGGUUGAUCCUGCCGGACCUGACUGCUAUCGGAUUGAUACUAAGCCAUGCGAGUCAUUGCAGCAAUGCAAGGCGGACGGCUCAGUAACACGUAGUCAAUCUACCCUGUGGACGGGGAUAAUCUCGGGAAACUGAGCAUAAUACCCGAUAAACCAUUAUGCCUGGAACGGUUUAUGGUUAAAAUGAUUCGUCGCCACAGGAUGGGACUGCGGCCUAUCAGCUUGUUGGUGAGUUAACGGCCCACCAAGGCGAUAACAGGUACGGGCUCUGAGAGGAGAAGCCCGGAGAUGGGUACUGAGACACGGACCCAGGCCCUAUGGGGCGCAGCAGGCGAGAAAACUUUGCAAUGUGCGAAAGCACGACAAGGUUAAUCCGAGUGGCCUCUGCUGAAGAGGUCUUUUGACAGUCCUAGAAACACUGUCGAACAAGGGGUAGGCAAGUUCUGGUGACAGCCGCCGCGGUAAAACCAGCACCUCAAGUGGUCAGGAUGAUUAUUGGGCCUAAAGCAUCCGUAGCCGGAUCUAUAAGUUUUCGGUUAAAUCUAUGCGCUCAACGUAUAGGCUGCCGGAAAUACUGUGGAUCUAGGGAGUGGGAGAGGUAGACGGUACUCGGUAGGAAGAGGUAAAAUUCACUAAUCUAUCGAUGACCACCUGUGGCGAAGGCGGUCUACCAGAACACGUCCGACGGUGAGGGAUGAAAGCUGGGGGAGCAAACCGGAUUAGAUACCCGGGUAGUCCCAGCUGUAAACAAUGCAAACUCAAUGAUGCAUCGGGUUGAACCCGGUGCAGUGUUGCAGGAAAGCCGUUAAGUUUGCCGCCUGGGAAGUACGUACGC
Molecule: ribosomal RNA, 836 nt
Filed under: uncultured archaeon
Lineage: Archaea
Description: bacterial SSU rRNA
Rfam family: Archaeal small subunit ribosomal RNA
Source: RNAcentral